Molecule: non-coding RNA, 46 nt
Organism: Neocallimastix californiae
Lineage: Eukaryota; Fungi; Neocallimastigomycota; Neocallimastigomycetes; Neocallimastigales; Neocallimastigaceae
Source: Rfam
CAAUAGGUUUUACUGAAAACCAUAACAUUUUCAUUCUUAAUUAAAU